GAGUAUUGUUAUAUCGCUGUUGAGAAUAUAGUUAUUUUCUGGCCAAAUACUUGAUCCAAUACUACAACGGGACGCAGGGAAGAGGAGAGAGUAAGGUUCAAAGGAAUUUCAACACAACAGUGCCAGUCAACAAAUACAGAUAAGAACUGACUGCUAUUCUCUGUGAAUUUACCAUGUCCAACAGAACUCCCUGGACUGUUCCUGA
Long non-coding RNA from Portunus trituberculatus (swimming crab), 205 nucleotides. RefSeq lists it as uncharacterized. The record is from RefSeq and is a predicted model, not a curated record. The transcript has 3 exons. NCBI's taxonomy places the organism in Eukaryota, Metazoa, Arthropoda, Malacostraca, Decapoda, Portunidae.